Molecule: ribosomal RNA, 502 nt
Filed under: Salmonella enterica
Lineage: Bacteria; Pseudomonadati; Pseudomonadota; Gammaproteobacteria; Enterobacterales; Enterobacteriaceae
Also listed under: 2 other names
Description: bacterial SSU rRNA
Rfam family: Bacterial small subunit ribosomal RNA
Source: RNAcentral
AAAUUGAAGAGUUUGAUCAUGGCUCAGAUUGAACGCUGGCGGCAGGCCUAACACAUGCAAGUCGAACGGUAACAGGAAGCAGCUUGCUGCUUCGCUGACGAGUGGCGGACGGGUGAGUAAUGUCUGGGAAACUGCCUGAUGGAGGGGGAUAACUACUGGAAACGGUGGCUAAUACCGCAUAACGUCGCAAGACCAAAGAGGGGGACCUUCGGGCCUCUUGCCAUCAGAUGUGCCCAGAUGGGAUUAGCUAGUUGGUGAGGUAACGGCUCACCAAGGCGACGAUCCCUAGCUGGUCUGAGAGGAUGACCAGCCACACUGGAACUGAGACACGGUCCAGACUCCUACGGGAGGCAGCAGUGGGGAAUAUUGCACAAUGGGCGCAAGCCUGAUGCAGCCAUGCCGCGUGUAUGAAGAAGGCCUUCGGGUUGUAAAGUACUUUCAGCGGGGAGGAAGGUGUUGUGGUUAAUAACCACAGCAAUUGACGUUACCCGCAGAAGAAGCA